CAACUUUCAACAACGGAUCUCUUGGCUCUCGCAUCGAUGAAGAACGCAGCGAAAUGCGAUAAGUAAUGUGAAUUGCAGAAUUCAGUGAAUCAUCGAAUCUUUGAACGCACCUUGCGCCUUUUGGUAUUCCGAAAGGCAUGCCUGUUUGAGUGUC
RNAcentral lists this ribosomal RNA (154 nucleotides) under Tremella globispora. Its description in RNAcentral is "5.8S ribosomal RNA". It matches the Rfam family "5.8S ribosomal RNA". From Rfam's summary of the family: 5.8S ribosomal RNA (5.8S rRNA) is a component of the large subunit of the eukaryotic ribosome. RNAcentral also lists the same sequence under 1 other name. Lineage: Eukaryota; Fungi; Basidiomycota; Tremellomycetes; Tremellales; Tremellaceae. The record is from RNAcentral.